Molecule: ribosomal RNA, 480 nt
Filed under: uncultured bacterium
Lineage: Bacteria
Description: partial 16S ribosomal RNA
Rfam family: Bacterial small subunit ribosomal RNA
Source: RNAcentral
GACGAACGCUGGCGGCGUGCUUAACACAUGCAAGUCGAGCGGAAAGGCCCUUUCGGGGGUACUCGAGCGGCGAACGGGUGAGUAACACGUGAGUAAUCUGCCCCUGGCUUUGGGAUAGCCACCGGAAACGGUGAUUAAUACCGGAUACGACCACUUCUCGCAUGGGAUGGUGGUGGAAAGUUUUUCGGCCAGGGAUGUGCUCGCGGCCUAUCAGCUUGAUGGUGAGGUAAUGGCUCACCAUGGCUUCGACGGGUAGCCGGCCUGAGAGGGUGACGGGUCGCACGGGGACUGAGAAACGGCCCAGACUCCUACGGGAAGCAGCAGUGGGGAAUAUUGGACAAUGGGCGGAAGCCUGAUCCAGCAACGCCGCGUGAGGGAUGACGGCCUUCGGGUUGUAAACCUCUUUCAGCAGGGACGAAGCGCAAGUGACGGUACCUGCAGAAGAAGCACCGGCCAACUACGUGCCAGCCGCCGCCGUAA